GAUGAACGCUGGCGGCGUGCCUAAUACAUGCAAGUCGAGCGAACAGACGACGAGCUUGCUCCUCUGACGUUAGCGGCGGACGGGUGAGUAACACGUGGAUAACCUACCUAUAAGACUGGGAUAACUUCGGGAAACCGGAGCUAAUACCGGAUAAUAUAUUGAACCGCAUGGUUCAAUAGUGAAAGACGGUUUUGCUGUCACUUAUAGAUGGAUCCGCGCCGCAUUAGCUAGUUGGUAAGGUAACGGCUUACCAAGGCAACGAUGCGUAGCCGACCUGAGAGGGUGAUCGGCCACACUGGAACUGAGACACGGUCCAGACUCCUACGGGAGGCAGCAGUAGGGAAUCUUCCGCAAUGGGCGAAAGCCUGACGGAGCAACGCCGCGUGAGUGAUGAAGGUCUUCGGAUCGUAAAACUCUGUUAUUAGGGAAGAACAAAUGUGUAAGUAACUAUGCACGUCUUGACGGUACCUAAUCAGAAAGCCACGGCUAACUACGUG
Molecule: ribosomal RNA, 497 nt
Filed under: uncultured bacterium
Lineage: Bacteria
Description: partial 16S ribosomal RNA
Rfam family: Bacterial small subunit ribosomal RNA
Source: RNAcentral